AAUCUUUGAAGGCUACGACGAUUUUGAAAAUCGUUUAUAAACGUUCAAUUCGUUUAAAGAUUU
RNAcentral lists this transfer RNA (63 nucleotides) under Trypanobia cryptica. RNAcentral's name for it is "tRNA-Ser". Lineage: Eukaryota; Metazoa; Annelida; Polychaeta; Phyllodocida; Syllidae. The record is from RNAcentral.